UGUGCCGCACGAGCGCACCCUUAUCCUUUGUUGCCAGCACGUAAUGGUGGGAACUCAAAGGAGACUGCCGGUGAUAAACCGGAGGAAGGUGGGGAUGACGUCAAGUCAUCAUGGCCCUUACGAGUAGGGCUACACACGUGCUACAAUGGCAGAUACAAAGAGAAGCGACCUCGCGAGAGCAAGCGGAACUCAUAAAGUCUGUCGUAGUCCGGAUUGGAGUCUGCAACUCGACUCCAUGAAGUCGGAAUCGCUAGUAAUCGUAGAUCAAAAUGCUACGGUGAAUACGUUCCCGGGCCUUGUACACACCGCCCGU
RNAcentral lists this ribosomal RNA (313 nucleotides) under Proteus mirabilis. RNAcentral's name for it is "bacterial SSU rRNA". It matches the Rfam family "Bacterial small subunit ribosomal RNA", at positions 1083 to 1397 of the family's 1533-position model. Lineage: Bacteria; Pseudomonadati; Pseudomonadota; Gammaproteobacteria; Enterobacterales; Morganellaceae. The record is from RNAcentral.